GCCCGCUCAAGAAACUACAAAGGAAGUUCGACGGGGCCCGCACAAGCGGUGGAGCAUGUGGUUUAACUCGAUGAUACGCGAGGAACCUUACCUGGGCUCAAAUGUAUGUUGACGUAUUCUGAAAGGGAUACUUCUUCGGACAAUAUACAAGGUGCUGCAUGGUUGUCGUCAGCUCGUGCCGUGAGGUGUCGGGUUAAGUCCCAUAACGAGCGCAACCCUAUCAUUAGUUGCCAUCAGGUCAAGCUGGGGACUCUAAUGAAACUGCCUACGCAAGUAGUGAGGAAGGUGGGGAUGACGUCAAAUCAGCACGGCCCUUACGUCCAGGGCUACACACGUGCUACAAUGGCCGGUACAAAGGGCAGCUACCUGGUGACAGGAUGCUAAUCUCAAAAGCCGGUCUCAGUUCGGAUCGGAGUCUGCAACCCGACUCCGUAAAGCUGGAAUCGCUAGUAAUCGCGCAUCAGCCAUGGCGCGGUGAAUACGUUCCCGGGCCUU
RNAcentral lists this ribosomal RNA (495 nucleotides) under uncultured Sphingobacteriales bacterium. Its description in RNAcentral is "bacterial SSU rRNA". It matches the Rfam family "Bacterial small subunit ribosomal RNA", at positions 903 to 1382 of the family's 1533-position model. Lineage: Bacteria; Pseudomonadati; Bacteroidota; Sphingobacteriia; Sphingobacteriales. The record is from RNAcentral.